CAGCCGCCACGGUAAUACGGAGGGCGCGAGCGUUACCCGGAUUUACUGGGCGUAAAGCGUGCGUAGGCGGUUUGUUAAGUCUGUUGUGAAAUCCCCGGGCUCAACCUGGGAAUGGCAAUGGAUACUGGCAAGCUAGAGUGUGUCAGAGGAUGGUGGAAUUCCCGGUGUAGCGGUGAAAUGCGUAGAGAUCGGGAGGAACAUCAGUGGCGAAGGCGGCCAUCUGGGACAACACUGACGCUGAGGCACGAAAGCGUGGGGAGCAAACAGGAUUAGAGACCCGCGUAGUCCCUGUCUCUUAUAC
Molecule: ribosomal RNA, 301 nt
Filed under: uncultured bacterium
Lineage: Bacteria
Description: partial 16S ribosomal RNA
Rfam family: Bacterial small subunit ribosomal RNA
Source: RNAcentral